AGUGAACUUCUUUUGUAGUGGAAAUCCUUUACUGUUUUUCUGUAAACGACAAAGAGUACAACUGAUAGCGGGACACGAG
RNAcentral lists this small RNA (79 nucleotides) under Flavobacterium urumqiense. RNAcentral's name for it is "Flavo-1 RNA". Lineage: Bacteria; Pseudomonadati; Bacteroidota; Flavobacteriia; Flavobacteriales; Flavobacteriaceae. The record is from RNAcentral.